UACCUGUCCCUAUGCAGAGACCCAGUACGUCACCAGAUGUAAUGAAAAAGCCUUUGCACUGCGCAAUUGAGCACAGGGCAAAGGAGAGAAUCGGAGCAUGAAAUGUUCCAAUGCUCAUAUCAG
This is a long non-coding RNA of Bufo bufo (common toad), 123 nucleotides long. RefSeq lists it as uncharacterized. Lineage: Eukaryota; Metazoa; Chordata; Amphibia; Anura; Bufonidae. The transcript has 3 exons. The record is from RefSeq and is a predicted model, not a curated record.